GAUGAACGCUGGCGGCGUGCCUAAUACAUGCAAGUCGAGCGAACGGACGAGAAGCUUGCUUCUCUGAUGUUAGCGGCGGACGGGUGAGUAACACGUGGAUAACCUACCUAUAAGACUGGGAUAACUUCGGGAAACCGGAGCUAAUACCGGAUAAUAUUUUGAACCGCAUGGUUCAAAAGUGAAAGACGGUCUUGCUGUCACUUAUAGAUGGAUCCGCGCUGCAUUAGCUAGUUGGUAAGGUAACGGCUUACCAAGGCAACGAUGCAUAGCCGACCUGAGAGGGUGAUCGGCCACACUGGAACUGAGACACGGUCCAGACUCCUACGGGAGGCAGCAGUAGGGAAUCUUCCGCAAUGGGCGAAAGCCUGACGGAGCAACGCCGCGUGAGUGAUGAAGGUCUUCGGAUCGUAAAACUCUGUUAUUAGGGAAGAACAUAUGUGUAAGUAACUGUGCACAUCUUGACGGUACCUAAUCAGAAAGCCACGGCUAACUACGUGCCAGCAGCCGCGGUAAUACGUAGGCGGCAAGCGUUAUCCGGAAUUAUUGGGCGUAAAGCGCGCGUAGGCGGUUUUUUAGUCUGAUGUGAAAGCCCACGGCUCAACCGUGGAGGGUCAUUGGAAACUGGAAAACUUGAGUGCAGAAGAGGAAAGUGGAAUUCCAUGUGUAGCGGUGAAAUGCGCAGAGAUAUGGAGGAACACCAGUGGCGAAGGCGACUUUCUGGUCUGUAACUGACGCUGAUGUGCGAAAGCGUGGGGAUCAAACAGGAUUAGAUACCCUGGUAGUCCACGCCGUAAACGAUGAGUGCUAAGUGUUAGGGGGUUUCCGCCCCUUAGUGCUGCAGCUAACGCAUUAAGCACUCCGCCUGGGGAGUACGACCGCAAGGUUGAAACUCAAAGGAAUUGACGGGGACCCGCACAAGCGGUGGAGCAUGUGGUUUAAUUCGAAGCAACGCGAAGAACCUUACCAAAUCUUGACAUCCUUUGACAACUCUAGAGAUAGAGCCUUCCCCUUCGGGGGACAAAGUGACAGGUGGUGCAUGGUUGUCGUCAGCUCGUGUCGUGAGAUGUUGGGUUAAGUCCCGCAACGAGCGCAACCCUUAAGCUUAGUUGCCAUCAUUAAGUUGGGCACUCUAAGUUGACUGCCGGUGACAAACCGGAGGAAGGUGGGGAUGACGUCAAAUCAUCAUGCCCCUUAUGAUUUGGGCUACACACGUGCUACAAUGGACAAUACAAAGGGCAGCGAAACCGCGAGGUCAAGCAAAUCCCAUAAAGUUGUUCUCAGUUCGGAUUGUAGUCUGCAACUCGACUACAUGAAGCUGGAAUCGCUAGUAAUCGUAGAUCAGCAUGCUACGGUGAAUACGUUCCCGGGUCU
This 1371-nucleotide ribosomal RNA is filed under the name uncultured bacterium. Its description in RNAcentral is "bacterial SSU rRNA". It matches the Rfam family "Bacterial small subunit ribosomal RNA", at positions 28 to 1381 of the family's 1533-position model. The record is from RNAcentral.